Long non-coding RNA from Jaculus jaculus (lesser Egyptian jerboa), 583 nucleotides. RefSeq lists it as uncharacterized. The transcript has 3 exons. The record is from RefSeq and is a predicted model, not a curated record. Lineage: Eukaryota; Metazoa; Chordata; Mammalia; Rodentia; Dipodidae.
UGCUGUCUCCGCCUCCGCUGCCCUUUGAGGCGCCUCCCCGGCCCCUGUGUGCGGUGGGCGCCGCCAACCUGGGCUGCUUGCGGGGCGCGGGCGAGCCCGGAAGCCGGGACAUGGAGAUGCUGGCCAGACUCAGAUGUCCAGAAGCAGCAGGUCAGCCCCACCAGCCAGGUGCCUACCCUCUUCUGAAGAUGAGGGAGAAGUGGCUCCUAGCUGAGGCAGGGGUGUUCCAGCAGUCUACAGUGUUCCAGCUUGAGGAUUCAGAGCCCAGAUGUACCACCCCUGGGAGCUUGUGGAAAAAAUGAUUUUGGCCUCUACUGGUGUGGUAUGCUUAUGGUGCACUGUACCAACCAGACCCCAGGUGUUGAACCUACAAUCAAGACUCUGACUCUUGGCUGCUGAAGGUGCAAUGAGGUGACCCUUGAUCCUCACAUGUAAGCCAGAUGCACAAAGUGACACAUACAUCUGGAGUUCCUUUGCAAUGGCUAGAGGACCUGGUAUGUCCAUCCUCCCUCCCUCUCUUUCUUUCCCUAUGUCCCCCUCUCUUAAAUAAAUAAAUGGAGGAGUCUCUUUUCUGAACCCAGAA